Molecule: ribosomal RNA, 478 nt
Filed under: uncultured bacterium
Lineage: Bacteria
Description: partial 16S ribosomal RNA
Rfam family: Bacterial small subunit ribosomal RNA
Source: RNAcentral
GACGAACGCUGGCGGCGUGCUUAACACAUGCAAGUCGAACGGUAAGGCCCUUCGGGGUACACGAGUGGCGAACGGGUGAGUAACACGUGGGUGAUCUGCCCUGCACUUCGGGAUAAGCAUGGGAAACUGGGUCUAAUACCGGAUAGGACUCCUGGCUUCAUGGUUGGGGGUGGAAAGAUUUUGCGGUGUGGGAUGGGCCCGCGGCCUAUCAGUUUGUUGGUGGGGUAAUGGCCUACCAAGGCGACGACGGGUAGCCGGCCUGAGAGGGUGACCUGUCACACUGGGACUAGGCAACGGGCCAGACUCCUACGUGAGGCAGCAGUGGGGAAUAUUGCACAAUGGGCGCAAGCCUGAUGCAGCGACGCCGCGUGAGGGAUGACGGCCUUCGGGUUGUAAACCUCUUUCAGCUAUGACGAAGCGCAAGUGACGGUAGUAGCAGAAGAAGGACCGGCCAACUACGUGCCAGCAGCCGCAGUAA